UACGUAGGGUGCAAGCGUUAAUCGGAAUUACUGGGCGUAAAGCGUGCGCAGGCCGUGAUGUAAGACCGUUGUGAAAUCCCCGGGCUCAACCUGGGAACUGCAUCUGUGACUGCAUCGCUGGAGUGCGGCAGAGGGGGAUGGAAUUCCGCGUGUAGCAGUGAAAUGCGUAGAUAUGCGGAGGAACACCGAUGGCGAAGGCAAUCCCCUGGGCCUGCACUGACGCUCAUGCACGAAAGCGUGGGGAGCAAACAGG
This 253-nucleotide ribosomal RNA is filed under the name uncultured bacterium. RNAcentral's name for it is "partial 16S ribosomal RNA". It matches the Rfam family "Bacterial small subunit ribosomal RNA", at positions 524 to 776 of the family's 1533-position model. The record is from RNAcentral.